CACUUGCAUAUCCUUCAUGUUGUACGGCAUGUUGUUGAUCUGGUUUUGGUGGUAGUGGAGGAGGUGUUGGCAGUGGAGGAGGUGUUGUAGGUACAUUUUGGGCUUUCCCUCUACCACGUCAGUUUCCUUGAACCGGCAACGCUUCAUCACCUACACAUCUUCCUCAAUAGCUCCAAGAGGCAAAUCACCAACUUCAUGGUUACCUGCCCUGCCAUUAGUAACCUACAACAAGCACACACAAAUUAAAGUAUUACGAAAAAAAAAAGAUAAAAACUCAAGAAAACACACAAUAACAAAGUAGUACAAGAACGUCGUACUCCCCAGCAGCCGCCAACAUUGAUGACAUCCAAUCAUAUACUUCUAACUGAAGUGCAGACGGUCGUUAGAAAUAAUAAACCCAGCUAGGUUGGAAUUGAAUCCCACAUGGAAUCCCACAUGGAAUAGGUGUGCUAAGGUGUUCAAAUGUGUGUAAACUUGAUAAUUCUUAAAGUAAUUUUCAAACAAAAAAGUGGAUGAUCAAUUACAUCUAAAAUUACUACUAAGACUAAGCUAGGAAUUUUAUCGAGCACAUAAAAUGCAAGUAAAAAUGAUUUUGUUUUCUAGUAAGAGAAGGACCGGGUUGUAACCUCAAUAUGAUAUAAUUAGUUCAUGGGUAUACUUAACUUGCCUAAAUACUUUGGAUUAGUUAUUAUGGUCCAAUUGCUAGCUACCCACUAGAAUUUUCUAACUCUAGCAAGCUUAUCUCUAAAGAGUUCUUCCAAACCAAAGGAAUGCAUUAAACCCCAAUUUAUAAUGACCCAAGUAAAAAUCUCCUUAUUCCUAAUAUGAUUUCAUUAAUCAAGCUUCAUUAAUUCUUUAAUAAUUUCAAAUCCUUGUUACUUGUUAAUUACCCGGUCCAAUUUCCACCUUUCCAAGCAAGAAAUAGAUAAUAAAGGACUCAAUCUAGUAUUUACAACCACCAAAUUAAUAUUAAAACAUGCAAACAAUUGGAUAAUCACAACCCAAGUAAUAAUAAACAAGAUAUCAAACACCCAUUCACCUUAAUGCCAUAAGAGUUUACAACCCUAGCUAUAAAAGCUUAGUUACUCAUGCUAAAGAUAAAAAACUAUAGGUUCAAAUGAAUAGAUAAACAUGAUUCGAAACAAAAUAAGUGAGAAAAUUCAAGCGCAACGAUGGAGAUCCUCAAAUCAUUCCAAAAGAGCUAAAGGCUGCGGUAGAAUAUUAGAAUAUUCAAAGGAAUGAAAGAUGACCUACGAAAAUCAGCUAAGAAUCUAUCGUCUGAAACCUGUGACAAAAUCGCCCUGUGGUCACAAUCGUGGAACCGAUUGAUGAUCAUCUCCACGUUUUGCUUUAAUACUUUAGUUGUAGGUUAAGCUUCAGGUGACUUCAUGGCCUUGUUCGUGGAGCCAAUGAUGUUCGUGGAGCCACUGAUGCUUGUGGCCUGGUUCGUGGGCUGAAUCGUGGAGCC
RNAcentral lists this long non-coding RNA (1468 nucleotides) under Nicotiana tabacum (common tobacco). RNAcentral's name for it is "long non-coding RNA (NTAB_LNC012350)". The record is from RNAcentral. Lineage: Eukaryota; Viridiplantae; Streptophyta; Magnoliopsida; Solanales; Solanaceae.